Molecule: ribosomal RNA, 496 nt
Filed under: uncultured Acinetobacter sp.
Lineage: Bacteria; Pseudomonadati; Pseudomonadota; Gammaproteobacteria; Moraxellales; Moraxellaceae
Description: bacterial SSU rRNA
Rfam family: Bacterial small subunit ribosomal RNA
Source: RNAcentral
AGAGUUUGAUCAUGGCUCAGAUUGAACGCUGGCGGCAGGCUUAACACAUGCAAGUCGAGCGGGCGAGGUUGCUUCGGUAACUGAGCUAGCGGCGGACGGGUGAGUAAUGCUUAGGAAUCUGCCUAUUAGUGGGGGACAACAUUCCGAAAGGGAUGCUAAUACCGCAUACGUCCUACGGGAGAAAGCAGGGGCUCUUUAUGACCUUGCGCUAAUAGAUGAGCCUAAGUCGGAUUAGCUAGUUGGUGGGGUAAAGGCCUACCAAGGCGACGAUCUGUAGCGGGUCUGAGAGGAUGAUCCGCCACACUGGGACUGAGACACGGCCCAGACUCCUACGGGAGGCAGCAGUGAGGAAUCUUCCACAAUGGGCGAAAGCCUGAUGGAGCAACGCCGCGUGCAGGAUGAAGGCCUUCGGGUUGUAAAGCACUUUCAGCUGGGAAGAUAAUGACGGUACCAGCAGAAGAAGCCCCGGCUAACUCCGUGCCAGCAGCCGCGGUAA